Molecule: non-coding RNA, 30 nt
Filed under: Homo sapiens (human)
Lineage: Eukaryota; Metazoa; Chordata; Mammalia; Primates; Hominidae
Source: RNAcentral
UGCGUAGUGUUGGAGCAGAAUUUCGGGAUA